Long non-coding RNA from Lytechinus variegatus (green sea urchin), 3876 nucleotides. RefSeq lists it as uncharacterized. NCBI's taxonomy places the organism in Eukaryota, Metazoa, Echinodermata, Echinoidea, Temnopleuroida, Toxopneustidae. The transcript has 2 exons. The record is from RefSeq and is a predicted model, not a curated record.
UUAUACAUUUUUUAUUUCUAAUAUUUAUGCAUAAAAAGUGCUUCAAUUGCAAUGGAUAAUUUUCCAGAUAUGCAAAUACAUUAUAGAUACAUGUAUAUACACAAAUUAUAUAUCUAUACAAUAUAAUAUUAUUCUGUGCAAAAUAGCAAAGUAAUAUACACCCAGCUUUUUAUACAAGAGAAUGUACUGAUAAAAUCAUAAUUAAGAAAAAUCAAUAAAAAACAAGCUUUUAAUACGUAAUGUAGUCACUAUUAUAGUGAAAUUCUUUGGUCAGACGAUACUAACCAAUUAGGUCAUGGUAUGAUUGUUGGUUUAGAGAUUUCAAGUCAAUGUAAGAACACUUUUAGUAGAUCUGUGUUGUUCCAUGCGCUUAGGAGCACCCCAACGCAAUAUACAAUGUGUGGAGCCAUGGUCAUAUUUCCCUUAACAUGAGAAAUAAAGAGAGUAUUCAAGGCUGAUAAUAUUAUUUUAAUAUAUAAUAGAAUAAAAUGAAACCAUCAAAAUGCUGAAAACUUCAAAUUCUGAUAACAAAUAAGUUAUUAGUACAGAAGAUGUUGAUCAUCGAGGUAGUAGAGAAUGACUAUAGGAGUUUAGGAGUUGAUCUGUCGUCUCACGGUUGCAGCAGCGAUUGUCCACAUUGCCUGACGAAGACUGCACGUAGCAGGAGCAGUCGAAACGUCGAAAUAAUCGUUUGAUUUAUCGUGAGACAACAGAUCAACUCCUAAACUCCUAUAGUGAUUCUCUACUAAUAACAAGUAAUUAAAAUAAGUUAUCUUAGUGAAACAGCUGUAUGCACUAAGUGGGCGGAAGAUAUCACGUCCUCAUUCCUUCCCUUUCAUAUUUUAUAAUAAUAUAACAUCUUAUUAUUUUUUCCCUCAUAUAUGUGUAUUGAAGUAUCUCUCCAUUGUAAAAAAAAACUAAAGUUAAAGCAAUACUUUCACACAAUGGGUCAAUAAUCAAUCCUUUUUAAAACAUUUUUAGGUCAGAAAAUUGAAAUCAUGUAAGAAAAAUUAAAAAGUGGGGAUGACAUCAUCAAUUCUCUCAGCACAUAUUUCUACUUAGAACUGCUUGAUCAAAGUAAUGAUUUUCUUUUUAAUUUGCAUCAAAUUUGAUGAAAUACAGGUUUUGCUUGUCUACUUUUACUCCAUUUAUUCACAUUAUUUUCAGCCUGGAGUAACCCCUUUAAUCAGUAGUGAUGUGAGUGUUCUUACAUUGACUUGAUAAAUGUAAAUGCUAUGGCAGGAAAGGAGCUUAUCUGAAGAGGAAGACUUGUCAGAAAGUAGGCCAAAUUUGAUCCAAAAUAUGUUUCUAGGAUUACAGGGGAUGCAUUAAAACAGUCAUUUAAAUACGGAACCUAGUCUCGUCUUGGGUGUGAAUUAGUAUCAACUAUGGAAAGCAAACAAUGACAUAAUUCAUUACAUUUUAACUGCUAAGCCUAAGUACAACAAUGUUAGCAUUCAGCUGUAACAGUUCUCUAGAGAUUGGUCAAUGUAAACAGAUGUGCCUUAUACCUAGAAGACGUAUAAGUGCAUUAGUCUAAAAACAUCGUUUUUGUUGUUGCUAGAGGAUAUAACUGUCUGUGCGGGCAGGAAGGAAAAAGCUAGGCAAAUCAGUGCAUACUUACAAUGCAGGAAGGACUAAUCCAAACAUAGAGGAAAUUACAAUGACGCAUUACUCAUAACUGGAAGCAUUUUAGAGAGUUAUUUCAUGGUUGGCAAUUCAAUAAGUUUGAUAAUCAGCAACAAUUUAGUACAAUAUAUCAAGAUCAAAACAACUCUCAUCCGCGAUGUAUCUUUGACACAAAGACAACACUGAAUUUGUUGAACCAUCAAUAUGUACUGUACAGUGAUGUAAAGGCCUGGUCACACUGCCCGAGUGUUGUUGCAGUGGUCGUGGAGCGGAAGAGAGAGGGGGUCGAAUUUCACUCACAAAAUUGGGGGAAAAAAUAAAAAACAAAAAUCGAAAACAAAAUAAAAACAAACGAAAUCGAAAAUGGUGAACGGGAGCGAGCGGUGAUGAUUUUUUUCUAUCCGCUCCACGACCGCUCCAACAACGUUCAGGCGGUGUGACCAGGCCUAUAGUAACAGAAAUAACCAAAUUUCAAUGAAUGUACAUUUAUGAGGGGGUGGUGGAGAAAGGAAAUGAAAUACAUGUAUACUACUGCAGCACUUUAGUAGUAAACAAAAUAAAUAGGAGAAAAGGAAAUCCUAACAUAUUCUUGCACAAUAUAACACUAUUCUAUGUGAUAUGCAAGAAGAUACCGGCUCCUUACAGCCUCAUUUUACACAGGUAUUGAUAAAAAGAAUGAAAUUCAAUCUGAAAAAGUCUGAUUUUCUAGUAACGAAUGCACAUUUUAAGGGAUUCAAAUUCUAACGUAAUACAUGAUUGUCUUAGAUAAAAGCACCAUACACAUUCAUUCUGUACAAGUUUUUCUCUUACAACUACAUUUUGAAAUACUCUUUAAUGAUUCCAUUACUUACAAAAAGCUAUAAGAAAACACAAACAGUGAAAGUUUAGAUUUGCUGAGAAGUGUAAAUAAUUUUUUUAGCCCAUUAACAAUAAUUGACACUCUUAUUCUUUGUACUUUGAAUAGGUAAAAGCAAAUAUCCAGUAGUUAAUGGAAAACUUAUUAACAAAGUUGUCCAAUUUCAACAUAAAAUUUAUCUUACAUUCCAAUUGAUAUUGUCUAUUUCUCAUGUUAAAACCAAAUUAAUAAGAUCUUCAUAAUUCUAAUAGGAAAUCCAUAUAAUUUACAAAUAUGUACAAUGCAAUGCAUGUAGAUCUAUAUCUAAUCAUCAGUACAAAAUACCUUCAUUAAAUACCAUCUUGUGAAAUUUACAAUUUGAAUAGAAUUCUCAUUCUCUCAAAAUACAGCUUCAACAAUUUUGAUGCAAUUUUUUAUCAAAUUUUCAAUUAGUAGAAAAAAUAUAUUGUUACUAUAAAGGCAUCAACUAUUUCUGUAUAUUCAAGCCAAUUAAAACAGCAGCCAUAAGAAUAUUACAAAUUCUUUUAAAAAGCCAGUUUGAUAUAAAAUUAGAGGGUAGGUCAUUUCAUUUUGUGUAGAUACUUCUUUUGCCAAGAUAGCGCACAAUAUUUGGUGGCUAAUGCCUAAGCCUGCCAUUGUUAAUAUCAGUGUCAUAUUUAACUAGUUGUAAAGGGUGUAUCUAUGAAAAAGAAACCCAUCAUUCAUUAUUGUUUGUUUAGAAACUAUCAAAUUCAGAAUUGUGGGAUUCGUAUCACUCAAAAAUUACUCUCAUCAAUCAGCAUUAAAUACCUGAAUUGGGUUUCUAGGACCAAGUUUCACUGAACACCAGUGUUCUAAAAACGUGGUGUCAAAAUCCCAGGUGGUUCACUAUCACUGCUCACUGAGUCGCUAUGGUGUGAGUGUGUGCAUAUGAACAAUGUUAUUAUGCAACAUCAAAAUUGCUUUUUAAAUUGUUUGAAUUGAACUUCAUCAAUAUGUAAGAAACAAUAGGUUCAUAAGUCAACGCAAACAGUUUAUGUGACAAAAAAUCUGGUAAAGUAUUUUUAUAUUCUUUUUCCUCUCAAUUUUCGAUUGUUCAUUGUGCCCACUGUGUUAAGACCACAAGUGAACAAAGUGUAACACAUUGUAUAACAAAGUGUAAUGCAUCAUAUAAUGAAUACAAUAGUGUUCAGUGAUACAUGGUCCUAAGCACCAUCAUGCUUCUAUUUGAAUGUAAAUAAAGUCAUUACAAGAAAUGUUAUAAGCAUUUCUAUUUGCCAUUUUGAGGGUAGAACAUUUCUUAUAGGAGUCUAUCUCAUACAUGGGUUGUUACAUUAUAUAACCAUAAAAUUAUUAUCCUUAAUUUCUAGAAUAAAAUGACAUUGCUUCCAUUUACAGCUUGACAGACAUUG